GUCACUGUGGCGCAGGGGUUAGCAUGUCUGCCUUUGACGCCGAACGCCUGGGUUCGAAUCCCGGCGUGAACA
Non-coding RNA from Stomoxys calcitrans (stable fly), 72 nucleotides. NCBI's taxonomy places the organism in Eukaryota, Metazoa, Arthropoda, Insecta, Diptera, Muscidae. The record is from Rfam.